UACGUAGGGUGCGAGCGUUGUCCGGAAUUACUGGGCGUAAAGCGCACGUAGGCGGCGAUUCAAGUCAGAGGUGAAAGCCCGGGGCUCAACUCCGGAACUGCCUUUGAAACUAGAUUGCUAGAAUCUUGGAGAGGCGAGUGGAAUUCCGAGUGUAGAGGUGAAAUUCGUAGAUAUUCGGAAGAACACCAGUGGCGAAGGCGACUCGCUGGACAAGUAUUGACGCUGAGGUGCGAAAGCGUGGGGAGCAAACAGG
This 253-nucleotide ribosomal RNA is filed under the name uncultured bacterium. RNAcentral's name for it is "partial 16S ribosomal RNA". It matches the Rfam family "Bacterial small subunit ribosomal RNA", at positions 524 to 776 of the family's 1533-position model. The record is from RNAcentral.